UAACAUUUUCCCUUAACCGAUCCCAAUGCCUCACAACAUCUGGAUCUAAAUUUUUUUUGGCAUUGUGUGUAUCCAUAUGGGUGCUUCCGGUUUUGUCUCAUAGUCGUGGAGAUAAUUUUUUAUAAAAAAUGUAUUUCUGUUCCCAGUGAAUAUUACGAUUCCAAUACACCAGUUGUCUUCCAAGGUAUGCCACGUUACCACUCCGUGGCCAUCACCUGGACGAAUAUCUAAAUGUCAGGUAACGAAAGGCAAUAAUUAUAAUGCCAAAAAUAAAUAACACCAUGCUAUAAAACUAAUUGUGUCCACCUAAUAAACAAGCCAGGUAAGUAUUUUUUAAUUGCUAGUCGAAGAUUGUAACAACAAAUACGUUUCAGCAAGUCUAUAAAUGCAGAUAUAUAUGCUCCAUUAGCAGUGUGCAGUCCUGAUAUGGUAAUGGUGCAUCGAGUGCGCUUUUGAAACUGCAAUUUUCAGAAGUCCAGAUUCAUGCCCGGAUUAGUGAUGUAAGAUUCAUAUGAUCGAUAUGGUAAAUAACAUAAACUUGAAGUUGAUAAAGUUGAGACUUCCGUAUCCGACUUUUCAUUCUCACUUCAAAAUAAUGCUGACGAUAUAAACAGCGUCUCUGAGGAAGGCCGCUGAAGAGUAAUUGAACUAUUGUAAAUGGACAACAACGAAUUGGAUCGAUCUCCUUUGAGCUGCAAGGAAACGGUCAGGAAUUUUCUAAAGCAAAUCGCAAGCAUCAGAAGUAGUUUGCGCCUAUGCCCAACUCUCCAGUGGCGUCAAACGAUCAAGUAAUUCUGCCGGUACUUUCGGUGACGGAUACCUCAUUAUGGAAGAUUCAGGCCCUGUAUUUCAGGGACGCGUAAGUCAUGCGCUGGCAGAAAUGGAACGUUUCCUUAGAGCGGUGUGGAGGCCAACGAUGGGCCUGGUUUCUGCUGUCUUGUGUGGUUGCGCAUGUACGUAUGUUGUUCCCAGUGGGGUUGCUGCUGCCUUACACGAGCUGGGGAUAUUCUUUGGUGCACUGAAGGCAGUUGAACGGGACGUGCACGCGGACGUUACCUACUACACGAAAUUCGUUGUCAUUUAUUUUCUCAUGUCAACCUUUGUUCCCAACGUAUUUAGGGUAAGUAUGUUGUUUGUUGUAUCAGUAGGUGAAACUUAACUUCGCAGGGAUAGAAUCCGAGACCUAUAUAACAUUACUAUGUUACACGAAUGCAGGGUAACUCAAUAUUCACAUGUAGCAUGUAUUAAGAACUAUAUAGGCUCCGCCAAUCGACGACAGGCUUAGUGGACAGCCAGUCUAACAGGUCUUUAUUUAUACCUGUACAAACGAGACAAGCUAAAUUAAGGCAUAUUAUAUCAAUAGACAGAAGAAAAAGAACAAUCCAAAACUGUAGUUAAUGCUAUACAAAACUCAGUCUAAAAAUAUGAUGAACAUAUGUUCAUCAUACCUUUAACAGAACAUCCAUUCCUAAGAUAUUGAUACAUUAUAUAGUAAAUAUCAGUCAAGCAAAAUGAUUGUGAGGGCUGUUUUAACCUUAACUUCCGAUUUUUAUAGGUGUUAUUUAUUACAGUUAUCCUCUUCGCUAACGAACCCCUGAUCACAGAUAUCUAUGCUACGCUGUUUGCGGGUCGGUUUUUUCCAUCAGAGACAGUUCCUCAGGCAGGAGGACGAACCUCAGAUGAAGAGACUCCACUUGUCCGUCGAGGGAAAUUACCCAAGUUUAACACGAAGUUCGCCGCAUUUAAAGAGCCAUGCUGUCAUGCAAAAUAGUCUAGGAGUGUUGGGUGGUUAACGUUGUUUCAUAAUAGGUUCUUCCUGUUUUUUUCUCGAUAAUAGAUUAAUUUGCAGAUACGUUGAAAACUUAACGUGCAGUAUGUACUCAAUGGCGACUAUCUCCAAGCACUGUUCGUCAUUCCAAUACAUCGGAACGUUAAACCUUCUAUCGGAAUGGCGAAGCAUAUCUGCUUGAAUGUGUUUUCAUAGUUCCUGUGAGCGUGAAGCCGUCCAUAGUUAAAGUUUUUGAUGGCAAACGAUUGCUAUGGAAUUUUGUUCCCGUGCCGUUUCAUAGUUGUGCUGGAUGAAUCACCAAAUAAACAAGUCUUCAGUUCCAGGAUGCACAGACAUGAUAGCCAGCAAUCGUUGAAAAAACAUGACACAUCCAGUCUGUGCUCGAUGAAACAGACUUAAAGAACAUGACACAUCCAGUCUGUGCUCGAUGAAACAGACUAAAAAACUCUAAAAUAGUGUUAUGUGUGUAGUGUGCAGUAAUGUGUGCAAAUGUGCAGUACUAGGAUGAGAAAUUUUCAAACGGUUUUUGCCUUAUGAAGGCGCAAUUAUUCUACUUUAUAAUGCUGUCCUACACACGAUAAAGACGUCGCCAAGCGCUGCGAUCUGUAGAGUUAGAAUAUCGUACUGCGUAUGAUCGCAAGCAUCAGUUUACUGAAGUCGGAUAUCGUCAAGUUCAAUAUUCACGUUCUCUGCUUGUACUGUGUAUAGCCGGCGUGUACUACCACCAUAAAAACAUGACCGUUCUCGACACGGAACAACUCAGUAAUGGCCACAAGGAACUCAUGACGAUUUUGAAAAACGCUGGAAUGGAUGAUAUCAUCACCUCUCACGUAGCAGCCCGCCUUAACGGCUAUCUCGGAGGACAUGGAUCGCUGGCGCAAUUCCAAUCAGAGGACCUUGGCCUUCCGGAUGAGGCUAAGGCGUACGUUGUGAAGGUUCUUCAGAAGAGCGUUACAGUUUCCUGUCAUUAGCAGCAUUAUGCCUGUCAUAAGAGUAUAUAUACAUAAUAGUUGUUAAUAAAUAACUAGAGUACACGAAGUAACAGGUGCUUGCAUAAAGCCCACUGCCAGAACGCAUCAUAUGAUCAUCCCACGAUUCAAGAUAGCUAUAAAGCAGGAGCUAAUAGCAGCACAUCAUACGAGAUUAAUAAACUAUUGCGAACAUUUCAUCAGAAUAGGAACAGUCAGAUUAGCGGAAGUAACAUUGGUAUUUUGAGACGAUGGGCUACAAUGUGUUUGAGGGAUAUUAAUCGGUGCAAUUAGCUUAAUAAUUUUAUUAUGACAAUACAGUAUUUCCGUGGCAAAACACUUGGUAAUGUAUAUACUGUCCGAGCUUACGUAGUUCGGUAAGGCUGUGUAAUUCGAAUAGCCUUCACGUCGACCCAUUUAUAUGGCCUGCGACUGUUAUUUAUGUCAGUGAAUUGCAUACAAAGUUUUCUAGAGCAAAUCAUAAAGCACAAAAAGGGAAAAGUAAAAAUGAAGAUUGGUUUAAAGAUGUCAUUUAGCUCUAAA
Long non-coding RNA from Varroa destructor (honeybee mite), 3300 nucleotides. The record is from RefSeq and is a predicted model, not a curated record. Lineage: Eukaryota; Metazoa; Arthropoda; Arachnida; Mesostigmata; Varroidae.